This is a long non-coding RNA of Ornithodoros turicata, 457 nucleotides long. RefSeq lists it as uncharacterized. The transcript has 3 exons. The record is from RefSeq and is a predicted model, not a curated record. NCBI's taxonomy places the organism in Eukaryota, Metazoa, Arthropoda, Arachnida, Ixodida, Argasidae.
GUCGCUGCCUGCCGCGCAGCGCCUGUUGUACCUCGAAGCCUUUGUUUUUAUUCUGGCGAAGCAAGCAAGCGCUGGAGACUGGACUCGAGUUAAAGACCUCAAGCUUCUCACGCACAUAAGUGAACCAACUAUGAAGAAAAACACGGGCUUGAUGAUGACGGCUGCGUACGCCAAGUACCACCAUUGUGGCGAACGUGACGUUGUAGACGUUUCCCAGAUACUUGAUUUCGAGCCAAAGCACCCCGCGGACCUCAACGCACGCCACUUGUACAAGAUAUAGUGAGAACCGAAAGAGGACGACGAAUACCUUGGCGAGCCUGGUUAUUACAAAGGACAAGUGUUACUUUUGGCAGCGUCGGAGGAGGAACUUCAACAGAAAAUUGCAAAGAAGCGGAUUCCGACACCAAAAGUUGUAGACAUCGUGUCAGACAGCGGUUGUGAAGAUAAACAGGCCACU